Molecule: ribosomal RNA, 510 nt
Filed under: uncultured bacterium
Lineage: Bacteria
Description: bacterial SSU rRNA
Rfam family: Bacterial small subunit ribosomal RNA
Source: RNAcentral
AACGAACGCUGGCGGCGUGCUUAACACAUGCAAGUCGAACGCGAAAGGGACUUCGGUCCUGAGUAAAGUGGCGCACGGGUGAGUAACGCGUAGAUAACCUGUCUUCAUGUCUGGAAUAAUACGCCGAAAGGGGUACUAAUACCGGAUAUUCUUGCUUUUCAUAAGUUAUGCAAGCAAAGGUGGCCUCUGCAUAUGCUACUGCAUGAAGAGGGGUCUGCGUACCAUUAGCUAGUAGGUGGGGUAAUGGCCUACCUAGGCGACGAUGGUUAGCGGGUCUGAGAGGAUGAUCCGCCACACUGGCACUGGAACACGGGCCAGACUCCUACGGGAGGCAGCAGUGAGGAGUAUUGCGCAAUGGGGAAACCCUGACGCAGCGACGCCGCGUGAGUGAAGGAAGGCCUUCGGGUCGUAAAGCUCUGUCAAGAGGAAAGAAGUGUACAAUGGCUAAUACCUGUUGUAUUUGACGGUACCUCUAAAGGAAGCACCGGCUAACUCCGUGCCAGCAGCCGC